GGGCCCGCACAAGCGGUGGAGUAUGUGGUUUAAUUCGAUGCAACGCGAAGAACCUUACCAACCCUUGACAUCCUGUGCUACAUUCAGAGAUGAAUGGUUCCUUUCGGGGACGCAGUGACAGGUGCUGCAUGGCUGUCGUCAGCUCGUGUCGUGAGAUGUUCGGUUAAGUCCGGCAACGAGCGCAACCCACAUCCCUAGUUGCCAGCAGUUCGGCUGGGCACUCUAUGGAAACUGCCCGUGAUAAGCGGGAGGAAGGUGUGGAUGACGUCAAGUCCUCAUGGCCCUUACGGGUUGGGCUACACACGUGCUACAAUGGCAUCUACAGUGGGUUAAUCCCAAAAAGCUAUCUCAGUUCGGAUUGUCGUCUGCAACUCGACGGCAUGAAGUCGGAAUCGCUAGUAAUCG
This 405-nucleotide ribosomal RNA is filed under the name uncultured bacterium. Its description in RNAcentral is "bacterial SSU rRNA". It matches the Rfam family "Bacterial small subunit ribosomal RNA", at positions 917 to 1344 of the family's 1533-position model. The record is from RNAcentral.